This 369-nucleotide ribosomal RNA is filed under the name uncultured organism. RNAcentral describes it as "bacterial LSU rRNA". It matches the Rfam family "Bacterial large subunit ribosomal RNA", at positions 2099 to 2465 of the family's 2925-position model. The record is from RNAcentral.
CUUGACUGUAUCUUGGAGUUGGGUUCGGGCUUUUCUUGCGCAGCCUAGGUGGGAGGCAUUGAAGAUUUCCUUCCGGGGAAGUUGGAGCCAACAUUGAGAGACCACUCUGGAGAGGCUAGAAUCCUAAUGGUGAUCCUUGAAUCAGGACACUUGACAGUUUCAGGUGGGCAGUUUUUCUGGGGCGGAAGCCUCAUAAAAGGUAACUGAGGCGCGCAAAGGUCCCCUCAGUCUGGACGGAAAUCAGACAUUGAGUGUAAAGGCAAAAGGGGGGCUUGACUGCAAGACCUACAAGUCGAGCAGGAGCGAAAGCUGGCCUUAGUGAUCCGACGGUACCGCGUGGAAGGGCCGUCGCUCAACGAAUAAAAGUUA